Molecule: long non-coding RNA, 1410 nt
Organism: Pseudopipra pipra
Lineage: Eukaryota; Metazoa; Chordata; Aves; Passeriformes; Pipridae
Exons: 3
Source: RefSeq, a predicted model, not a curated record
UUAAAAUAGGCUCUUCAGUGGAAAGGCAGUGAUCCCACUGAACAAAUAAUAUAAACCACGUCAUCGUAUAAGAAGGGAAAAAAAAAAUCAUCCAACAGCAGAAAAACCCCAACUCUGGUCCCUUCUGUUUUCAUACGGCAAGAGUCUUGAAAGUGCUUGGAAGAUACAGGUUGGGGAUAAUUCUGGAGAUCCUUGUGAAGUAAGAGCCGAUAAACUUUCAAUAUCUGCUGACUCCAUCCCAGGCUGUUGGAGGAUGUGAGGAUUAGUUUCUAAGUUUGGGACAAAUCUUUCUGGGGGAAGAAGAGGAGGAGUGUGCAAACACAACUCUCGUUUGGAACAAGAAUUAAGAAGAUAAAAUGCGAAGAAGUGCUGACUUGGACUGACCUAAUCGCCAUGCUGUAGUUCAGGGAUGUGAGCCAUGAAGCUGAGGCUGGACUGCAGAAACACUUGGACAGCAGGUUCAUUAGCUGGACGAAGGGGACUCUCACUCACGGCAUUUCCUGGUGCUUUCGUGUGCUUAGUGGAGACUUCAGACGAGCAUUUCGGUGCAAAAGCAUACAGAAAAUUCAGUGGAUUAGAAGAGGCUUCUGUAUAGAAGUUACUAACCCUGUGCUGGAUCAUAUUCAUAAGCGAUUUUAGGGAUCAACAUAUUCCUUGUUCAAGAAUCUUUCCAUCCUUGCUGAUAAGUGUGCUGGAUGAAGGGCAUAAUUAAUUUAAAUGAAUGUCUUGUGCUUGUUUCUGAAGCUUAUCCAACAUGGAUCUUGUUCACUGAGAAGGAAAAUAAAUGCUUUUUUCUUCUAUUUAUUGCUACUCUGGUGUGGGCCACCUACAUACAAGGAGAGAUUUUUUUCGAUACACGUCCCCCCAAAAUGUCACCCUAAAUGAUCAAGAGGAGAAAAAGUAAAAAGGACAUUCCACAUACAUAAAAUAUGUAAUUAAAAUGAUGAAUUAUUGUAAGAUAGAAUAUUAGCCUUUUGACAUUUUAAUCUGAGCAGGAGAGAGUGAGAGAGUGAAUUCGGAGCCGCUCAAUUAAAUUUAGAAUUUUUUACCCUCCAUUGUUAUGAAUAAAUAGAAAGAUUCUGUAGCAGUCUGCGGAAUUAUUAAUUGCAAGCACUGUAGAAGGUGCAUGCACCGUAUCAUGAAAUGGAGUAUCAUUGUUAGUGACUAUAUUUCUUGGUAAUUAAGGCCCAGACUAAUGAUGCAAGUUUUCUUCAGCAUGAUUUUCAUCUGAUUAUGAGGCUGCUUCAUUAAGAGCACUCAGACUAACGAGCUGUAGCUGUAAUAAAGUAAUUUUCUGUCUUGUGCUCUGAUUGAUAAAGAGUUUCUAUAGCUAAAAGGAAUUGAAAAUAUAAUUAUAAUUAGAAAUGGUUGAAUAAAGUUAUUACAGGAUUGCUGAAGGGUAGUGCAAUU